UGGGGAAUAUUGCACAAUGGGGGAAACCCUGAUGCAGCGACGCCGCGUGAACGAAGAAGGUAUUCGUAUCGUAAAGUUCUGUCCUAUGGGAAGAUAAUGACAGUACCAUAGAAGAAAGCUCCGGCUAAAUACGUGCCAGCAGCCGCGGUAAUACGUAUGGAGCGAGCGUUGUCCGGAAUUAUUGGGCGUAAAGGGUACGCAGGCGGUUUAAUAAGUCGAAUGUUAAAGAUCGGGGCUCAACCCCGCAAAGCAUUUGAAACUGAUAAACUUGAGUAGUGGAGAGGAAAGUGGAAUUCCUAGUGUAGUGGUGAAAUACGUAGAUAUUAGGAGGAAUACCAGUAGCGAAGGCGACUUUCUGGACACAAACUAACGCUGAGGUACGAAAGCGUGGGGAGCAAACAGG
Molecule: ribosomal RNA, 403 nt
Filed under: bacterium
Lineage: Bacteria
Description: partial 16S ribosomal RNA
Rfam family: Bacterial small subunit ribosomal RNA
Source: RNAcentral